This 448-nucleotide ribosomal RNA is filed under the name uncultured bacterium. Its description in RNAcentral is "bacterial SSU rRNA". It matches the Rfam family "Bacterial small subunit ribosomal RNA", at positions 29 to 521 of the family's 1533-position model. The record is from RNAcentral.
AACGAACGCUGGCGGCAGGCCUAACACAUGCAAGUCGAACGCCCUAGCAAUAGGGAGUGGCAGACGGGUGAGUAACACGUGGGAACCUUCCCUAUAGUACGGAAUAUACCAGGGAAACUUGGAGCAAUACCGUAUACGCCCGAGAGGGGAAAGAUUUAUCGCUAUAGGAUGGGCCCGCGUAGGACUAGCUAGUUGGUGAGGUAAUGGCUCACCAAGGCGACGAUCCUUAGCUGGUUUGAGAGAACGACCAGCCACACUGGGACUGAGACACGGCCCAGACUCCUACGGGAGGCAGCAGUGGGGAAGUAUUGGACAAUGGGCGGCAAGCCUGAUCCAGCCAUGCCGCGUGAGUGAUGAAGGCCUUAGGGUUGUAAAGCUCUUUUGCCGGGACGAUAAUGACGGUACCCGGAGAAUAAGUCCCGGCUAACUUCGUGCCAGCAGCCGCCGU